CUCACUGGGUGCCGGGAAGGAGCCCCGCCCCGUCCGCGUGCGCGCUCGCGAGCAGGCGCGCCGGGGGUUGCCGCGGCCGCGCGCUCCCUCGAGGGGGCGUGUCCUUUCCGGGCGGCGCGGGCCGGGAGGGUCCCUGUCAACUUGCUUCAUUGAGCGGCUGGCGGUGAGGAAGCGUUGCGCUCCCUGUGGGGCGGGCUCCACCUGCCUGCGGUUAGAUGGAGGAUCACUUUGUUCCGAGAAAUCCCGGGCGUGCGAAGGAGGAUGUGAAACGGAACGACCCGUUUCUGUGCGGUCGGCUUUGUUUAUUUGCCUCCUCACAAGACUCCUCCUGCCCCUGACGCCACCGAACCCCAAGGGGCGGCAAACGGCUGCUAUGGUCGCUGCGGCCAGACGGGGUCGCCAGCUCCGUACUCAACGGCCCGGCCCGGCAGCACCAGGGAUCGCCUGCCCCAACCGGGUAGAAGGCAUAUUCCUCUUUCAGAAUGAGGAUGGAGGUGGACCUCAUGAUGAAAAUGAACAUGAUGUGGAAAAUAUGAAGAUGGAAUCUACAAGAUAGGGAUGCUGAGCAGAAAGAUAAGAGUUUGGGUCACUUGACAUCUUGAAGCUGCUGCAGCAGUUCUAGACUGGCUACAUCUGGACUUACUUUUAUGUCUGAAAAACCCCAAUUUGGUUUUCUGUUAUGUGUAGCUAAAAUUUUUCUCAGCUAAUACAUAAAUUAUCAUGUUGUCUUCCUGCUUGCAGGCUCUACCCGUUGGAUAGUAAUAUGAUAUAGCAUGUGAGAGAUAUAAAAGCUGUCACAAAGCAAUACAUCAACUCCUAUAUAUAGCACUUUUUGCCAAUUCUACACUUAUACCAAAUUAUAUGAUUAAGAAACAUGUUUAUUAAAGAAAAAAUAGAAAGUAGAGAGGAGACCAAAGAAUCUAAAGUCCCAUUUUAACAUUUUUCUAUAGUUCCAUCUUGUUUUAUUUAAAGAUUUUUUCUAUUGUAACAUCACUGUAUAGUCAUAUUUAACUUAACACUAUAUGAUAACUUGCUUUUCAUGUUAACACAGUCUUUUAAACAAAUAGCUGUUGAAUAUUCCAAAUAAAUAUAAACAAGUUUUA
Molecule: long non-coding RNA, 1103 nt
Organism: Myotis myotis
Lineage: Eukaryota; Metazoa; Chordata; Mammalia; Chiroptera; Vespertilionidae
Exons: 2
Source: RefSeq, a predicted model, not a curated record